Non-coding RNA from Lactuca sativa (garden lettuce), 10958 nucleotides. NCBI's taxonomy places the organism in Eukaryota, Viridiplantae, Streptophyta, Magnoliopsida, Asterales, Asteraceae. The record is from RefSeq and is a predicted model, not a curated record.
UAAAAGGGUUGGGUCGGUGUAUUCGCGCUUAAAUAACCUUCUUCACUCAUCCCUCUGGCUUCUCUACAAACACCAUAGAUACAUGUUUCUUUGAAGAAGAGGGUUUUAUUUGGAGGUUCUUUUUCUUCUAUCGACACCACCGUUUCCUCUUUCUUUCAUUCCCCGACGUUCAACAAUCCUCUGCGUUUCCCUCUUCCUCUGUUAGGUAUUUUAAAUUAGGCUAACAUCUUCAGGCCUCCCUUCAUCACUGGGGCUAUUGGGUUGUACCUUUAUUCUUUGUAGUUGUAGUAUGACGUCUGGUCCGAUGUCAGUUUGGUUCACCAUCAUCAUCGAUCAAGAAAACGAGUACAUGUCUUUCUCCUCUGAUUUCUAGGCUGCCACCUAAUAGAAAGCACCCAUCAAAUGAAGAUGAUUGGUCCAACAAUAGAUUUUUAGAGAUUGAAAAUUGAUUUUUGGGGGCAUAAGGAAAGUAAGCUUGAAUCUUAAUCAAAUGAGGAUACUUCCAAGAGGAAGUGAUGGGAUUAACUUACUUCAUGUUGAAUCAAUCAAAAAAGAUGCUGAAUAUUGCACAGAAACACCUUCAGUACUUAUUUAGUAUGCCUGGUAGAUCUUUACAUCAGGGAAGGAAAUGCCUCAUGGUGGAUUGAAAUGUUAAAAUCAAGUGGUCAAUAUAAAGAGGUGCUGAUGUAUACUUUCGUAUCUCUGAUGAGGAACCUCUUCAUUCAGCUGUGAUUAUUGUUGUUGUUACCUUUUAUUUUAGCCAAACGAAUUAUGUUAAGAAAGUAUGGAUUUCAUCUCAUUCUUUCUGGUGGUGAUCUGUACAAGAAAUGGGAUCAGGUCAUUCUAUGAGUAAUGGUGCAAUGAAUCCAAAGGUUCCAAAAGAAUUUUUUUUAGUCCACAAAGAGAGCAAGAGAAACACACUUGCACCUGAUCAUGAAUCAAAUCCAUGGGCAUUUUAUGUUUGGGCAAUUUUAGUAGGAUCUUAUACAAUUCAACAUAUGCAAAGAGGCAGUAUGUUGUCUCAGUUAAAACAUCCGAAUACAUGUCUUUCAAAAACCAAUGGAAGAGUAUUUCUCCGGAACAGGCUAAAAGGUUUACCAAAAUUAGAGAAAGGGAGGGUUUGAUCGAGAAUGAUGUGGUAAGGACUUGACAGCUCAUUGUUGUUCUAUGAGGGUGAUGGUAAUCCAAAUGUAUGCAUUUUGCAUGAUAUAUUGUUGACUUACUCGUGCUACAACUUUGAUCUUGGUUAUUGCCAGGGCUUGAGUGAUUUCUCUCCACUAUCCUUACUCAUCAUGAAAGAUGAAUCACAAGCUUUCUGCUCAUUUCACAACUACUUCAAACAAAACGACUGCUUCUGUUUCUACUGGAUUCUGAUAUAAUUCAAAAAGGCAAGAAAUGAUGGGAUUAACUUACUUCAUGUUGAUUCAAUCAAAUAAAGAUGUUGAAUAUUGCAUGGAAAACACCUUCAGCAGUUAUUUAGUGGACCCUUUCUUAUUUAGCUUUUCUGUUAAUGUUUAAAGGUACAUUAUUGAAUCUCAGAAAAGGGUAUUGGGUGAUUAUGCCUUCAUGUUAUGAAAUUAUGAACUUGCUUUAUCAAAUUGCCACUGAUUACAACCUGACAAAGCAUGGAAACAAUAUGAAUUGAUGUGCUUUUUUAUCAAAAAAAAUGUUGAAUAUCGCAUGAAAACGCCUUCAGAACUUAUUUGGUACACCUGGAAAUGAUGGGAUUAACAUACUUGAUGUUGUUGAAUCAAUCAAAAAAAGAUGUGCUUUUAUUCAGUGAAUUGGGACAUUAGGGAAGGAAAUGUUAAAAUCAAGUGGUCAAUAUAAAGAGAGGGUGUUUGUGUGUACUUUCUUAUCUCUGAUGAGGACCUCUUCAUUCAGCUGUUGUGCUUGAACAAGCAUCUUAUUGUUGUUACCUUUUGUUUUUUUAGCCAAACGAAUUAUGUUAAGAAAGUAUGGAUUUCAUCUCAUUCUUUCUGGUGGUGAUCUGUACAAGAAACGGAGGGGAUCAGUGGUCAAGCUUUUUGGAUUAUGAAGGCUGAGUCAUGGAUCCAGACGCUUUAAAACAGAGAAUAUUCUAUAGGGGCAAAAAGAGGUUUAUGCAUUCUUAGUGGGAUCUUAUUCAUACCAUUCAACAGUAUGUUGUCUCAGUUAAAAACAUUAGAGUACAUGACUAUCAAAAACCAAUUGCAGGUAAAUGACUAUUGUGCCCUCCAAGUUCUAUCACCCAAAUAUUAUAUUUAUUGCGAUUUAUAAAAAGGUUUACAGAAAUUAGAGAAAGGAAGGGUUUGAUUGAGAAAGAUGUGGUAUGAAAAUAACCAUACAGUUCAGAUGUGGUUUUUUUUUUUUUUUUUUUUUUUUAUUUAAGUAUUUUAUUUUUGUUUUUAAGGUAAUGAUAUAUUGUUGACUUACUCAUUCUACAACUUUGAUCUUGGUUAUUGACAGGUAACAUGCCACUAUUAUUAUUUAUAGAGUAAAUUACAAUUUCGUCCUUGUGAUAUUUCAAAACUUAUGGUUUUCAUCUAAGAUAUUUCAUUUGCUGUACAAUUGGUCAGUAAAGUAUAGUUUUGUUGAAAGUUUUCUCCAUGGUGGAACUGUUGGUGUUGCAAAAUGUUUGUGAAAUCCAAGUGAAAUAUGACUAUUUUGUCCCUCUCUUUUUUUAUCCUUCAUCCUGUAAACCUAAAAUUCCUCAACUUUAAUCUUAAACUCUAAUCAAACCAAUACCCAACAAUUAAGCUAAAACUAAAACAAAAUUAAGAUCCAAGGUACCAACAAAUUUAUUUAAAAAAACCAUGAACAGUAAACUAAAAAGAUUAAAGAUUGUUAGGUUAGAAUUAUUUUUAUUUUAUACUUUUGGAUCUUGAUUCUUCUUUAAUUUUUGGGUGUUGAUUGAAUUUGGUUUGAUUUUUAUGAUUUAAGAUGAAGGAGAUUUAGAAGAUGAAGAUAAGGGCAAAAAAAGUCAUUUUACUUUAUCUAAUUAGUCAUUUUACUUUGUGUUAUUUAUUUAUUUAUUUAUUAUACACACAAUAUUUUGCUAAUAAUUGAAAUAAAGAAUUUUUAUCUCACAAAACAUGAGUGAUCUCUCUCUCUCUCUCUCUCUCUCUCUCUCCAUUAUUAUUCAUCUUGAAAAAUGAUUCAUAAGCUUUCAGGUGUUUUAUUGGAAUGAUUUGGUCCAAAUUUCAACCAUGAUCAAAAAGGCAUGCACUCUCAACUCUUUCUUUGCGCUAUAAAAUGUCCUCCCUCUAUCUCAAUAUAUAACAAGGGUAUUUUGGUCUUUUAAUAAAGAGGGAGGAAUGAAUCAAAACUGGCAUUCUUUCUGCCUGCCCCUAUAAAUAAAUGGUUCAAGCCCAUCAAAUAUGAAAUACCAAGGAAUUUCACAAAGUUGCAUUCCGUCCGAAUUUUCAACCAAAGGCACCAUUCAAUGGAAUCUCGAAUUCCAAUCCCACCGGUAUCCACAAUUCCAGUUCCUAGCUGUGAUUAUCAAACAUGGAAUUUCAAGAAAUCCAACAUAAGUGUGUUCCAUCCAAAUUGUCAACCAAACACGUCAAGAAAUGGAAUCUCGAAUUCCAACUCUGCCAGAAUCCGCAAUUCCGUUUCUUAGCUGUGGUUUCUAACAUGUCUAUUAUUGUUUUGAUAGGGCAGCUGGUGGAACUACUCAACAGCCCAUUACACAACUGCUUUCUGUUUCUGUUGGAUUCUGAUCCAACUCAAAAGGCAAGUAAAUUUACUCUUCUACCCUCGCUAAUUAAAAAGUAUCACAUGGUUUCAGGGUAUUUGAAUACGAUAAAACAUUAAGGUUAUGGGAGGUGUUACGGACAAGGUAAUAAACCAAACUGUACUUUGCUGAUUACUAAAUAUACAUGUAAAAUGUCUAAUAAGGUAACAAUAAUAAAAAAAUCCUUUCCAUAUUGGCCUCAUAAGUUUGUAUGUUGCAACUGAAUGCUAUUUAGAUGCAAAGGUAUAUAACCUUCUAUUAAAACAUUAUACUUUCAUAAUCAAAUCUAUUAAGACACUGUAAUUUUAUUAUUUUUCCUAGUCACUCUACUUCCACAAACUAAACAUGUUUGUUUUUGGUUACUAGUUAUAGCAUUAUAGCUUUAAUUUUUUUUUUUUUUUUAUCAAGACUUUAUUUUGAAAAUCUGAACUUGCUUGAUUUUGGUAAACAUAUAUAGCAUUUUAUAUUCAAAAUCUAACAUAAUUAAAUGUUGUAAUUUGUAUUUCCUUUUCUUAUUAAGACAACAAACUUUGCAAAUUUUUUACCUUUGAACUUUUUCUUAUUAAAACUUUACACUUGGAAAAUCUAAUAUUAUUAGACAUUAUACUUUUUUUCCUACAUAGAUAAUGUACUUUGGAAAUCUAGACAACUACAACAUAGUACUUUUAAUCUGGCCUAUUAAGAUAUUUUCUUCUAUUUUUUUUUCCUAUUAAGAAAAUGUUUUUUAAAAUCUAACCUAUAUAUAUAUAUAUAUAUAUAUAUAUAUAUAUAUAUAUAUAUAUAUAUAUACACACACACACGAAAACACAAAUGAUUUGUGAAAAGGAAAACAACCAUUAAGGAUGAGACACAUGUAUAUUUGAAAUAAAAAUAAAUGUUGUAUUAAGUUAAUUUAAAAAUAUACUCGGAAGGGUAAAUUUGGAAUUUGCAUUAACCGCAUUAAAACUUUAUACUGACUUUUAUACUUAGAAAAUCUAACAUAUUUAGACAUUUUACUUUUAUUGUUUCCCUACUUAGACACUAUACUUGAAAAUUUUAGACAAUUAUAACAUUGUACUUUGAAAGUCUAGACAAUUGUAAAAUAUAACCUAUAAAGAUUUUUUUUUCUUAUAAUCUUUUACUAUUAAGCCAUUGUACUUUGAAAAUCUAAGCAUCUAUGAUUUAUGUUCCCAUCACUAACAUUAUACUUUCAAUUUUCUUUCAUAUUUCAGUAUAUCUUUUUUCAUAUUAAGACAAUGUGCUUUAUCUUAAAUAUUACUAUUUAAAUUAUAGUGUUAUACUGCUAAUAUCUAACAUAUUAAGACUCAUUUAAUAUUUUCCUGAUGAAGACAUUGCACUUUAAAAAUCUCACCUAUUAAGACUUUGUAACUUUAAAAACUUCUACCAUUCAACCUUUUUCUUAUUAAAGCAAUAAACUUUGAAAAUCUAAUAUUAUUAGGACAACAUUUUAUUUUUGAAAUAUAACAUAUUUAAAUGUUAUCUUUUAACUUUUUUUUUUCUUAUUAGGAUAAUACAUUUUGAAAACAUUGUACCUUUCAAGUUUUUUCUUGUUAAGACUAACCUCUUUGAAAAUCUAAGAUAUACUUUUAUGAACAGGUUUGCCACAUGAAUAAGGAAAGUCAAAGAUGGAGUUCUAAUGUUUGUCCAACAGUGAUAAGGAAAAUGAAUCGCUUUGGAAAGAAUAUGAGGGUCGCUGGAGCUAGCGCUGAAACUGUCAACUGGGGGCAAUUGGCCUUCUUGUGGCCCCUCUGGUUGCAGUGGAAACACGGCAACUCAGACGUCUGGAUAACUGCUGCCGGAGCAGUGCAAUCCCUGCUAUAGUGUCCAGGCUUGCCGCACUUGUAGCAGCCUGAUGAUCCCAACCUGCAUGCCCCCUCGUGCGUCUUGCCGCAUUUCCUGCAGCGUCCCCGUCCCUGUUGCCGCAUUUCCUGACUGACCCUCUCCUGCCUUCCGUUUCCGGAUGUGCUCCAAGUCUAUCUCCCUCUCCCUUGCCCUGGCAAUCAUAGAGUCCAAGGUGAGGCAAGCUGAAAAACUAAGGGUCCUCCUCAUCGCCUGCAUACUGGGGCACCAACAGUGCCCUCUCCCGGAACUUGGCGGUGAUCUCCGCCACAUUCUCCGUCGUCUGUCUCAUGUCCAAAAACUCCCUGGCCAGCUGCUGAAGCUCGACAGCCGGCGCAAACUCCGCCCUGAACCUGGUCACAAAAUCCGACCAGGUCAUAGUCUCGAUAGCUGAGGCUCCCAACGAGUCACCCACUGACUCCCAACAAUCUCAAGCUCGGUCCCGUAAACAUCCUGCUGCAUACCUCACCUUCGACCCGAGGGGCAGAAGCUAGUCAACUGUGCAGACUCGAUGUCUGCAAUCCAUUGCCUAGCAGCAAUGGGGUCUUUCACCCCGUGGAAAUCUGGUGCACCACUGCCCCUGAAGUCCUUAAAGGACAGCGUGCGAGGCCCCGACUGGCCAGAUGCCAUGUCGCUCCUGAACGCCCUAAAGUGAUCCUCCAUCAACUCGAUGAUCCUCUCCUUGAUCGACCCAAAGAUGAUGGGGGUCGACUCAAUGAUGCCUCUGGUAAUCUCUCUGACGCGAUGAACUCGCGUAGUCCCUCAUCGACUGGCUCGGAACCUGAUCCCGAACCUGACCCCUCUCAUAAACCGCCAUCUAUCGGCCUCGAACGUAGUACCACCAUUCUGUAAUACAGGAAUAAUAAUUGUUAGUGAUACUAAUACUUCUUGAGGGAUCACAUCUACCACAAGUUCCCUGGUCUCAUCUUGGCCUCCCUUGGCUCGGGUACGGAUCCUCUGCUUUCAGUAGUACGGGCCCAUACUACCUUCAACAUCUAUCCGUACCUUCUCCAAGAACUGCCUCGACUCCACCAGAUCCUUUCCACUACGGCUGAUCACUACUAUACUCAUCCUAGGCUUGCCCUAGGGAAAUCUCAGGCUCCACCCUACCAGGUCCUCAGCUGCUGAAGGCCUCUUAGUAGUGCCAAUUGACCAUUACCUGAAUACCAUCACAUGUGGUUAGACUCGGAUAAUCCUUCGAGUAACAGGCUCAUCCCUACAACGGUUAGACUCAAACGAGAGCUGUGUAAUAGGGCCAAAUCCAACACUCUAAGAUUAUUCAACCCUGAUCACAUGUGACGUGACGUAUUCACCUAAUGGCUAACUCCCACCACUCAGAGUCCCACAAAGCACAAAGCAACCAUCAUUCGAGCUAAGGGAACAAUUUCAAGCAAAUCCGCUCUCAUAGAGAAGAACUAAUCUAGCAUACAGAGCUAAACUCAUAGUAUCAGGCAUAACCUAACAGGCUAUCCUAUUGCUGUCUACUCGACUCUAGCAUGCAAUUUUUUUUUAUACAGCUGAAACACAUAAAGCAGGCACAUAAGGCAUCGUUCCUAGAUCCUUAGUCAUAUUCUAGCAUGCUGUUCUACAAAAGCUGAUAAACAUAACAUAAACUUGUAUGGGUACUUUGGGGAAUACUUACUUGAGCUCGGCCGGUCGCGCACAUCACACACUUCGUUCUUUCUCAAAACUAUUUUCUCAUUUUUUUUCAAAACAUUUUCCUUUAGAAAAUCUUUCAAUCCCUCGAUCUGAGUUCAGACACCCCCGAAGGUGUGUCCUAAUCCCUCAAACCAAGGCUCUGAUACCAACUUGUAACGACCUAAUUUUCACGUCCAAAAAUUUUGUUUAUAAAUCAUUACUUGGAAAUCAUUAAUAAUUAAAACAUUGUAUAAUUAAACCAUUUUACAUUGAAAACCAAAUUGAAAUCCACAACAUUUAAACAACCAAAAUAUCAGAGUAUCAAUCCCAGAAUAAACUCAUAACUGCGGAAACAAAAGUGUGUGAUAUGCUGCUACCGAGCCUGCUCCUUCCCCUUGGCUAAAGAGGUACCUGAAACAACAACUGAAAAACGUAAGCACAAAGCUUAGUGAGUUCCCCCACUGUACCACAUACCAUAAUAAUCACAUAACAUACAUCUAUCGUCAGGCAUAUCUUGGUGCUCGACCUACCCCUUCGGUCCUUUGGACCGGAUGUUGCCUAGCAUACCUGGGUGCUGGCCUCCCCUUCGGUCCUCUCGACCGGAUACUGGAGACUACUUCUCCCCUCUACUACUACCACAUAACAUGUACCACAGUAUCAGAAUCUAUCUAGCAUGGCUGGGUAUAACUACCCCUUCGGCCCUAUUGACCGGAUGUCUUGGGACUAUCUCCCCUACUACCACUAACACAUAGCAUCACAUCAUACUAGCACAUAAGAAUGGAACAGGUAGUAGUAACCCUAGAUGAAUAUCACGGAGACAAUCAUCCACAUACAACUCCUACUGGUGGGCCGGCAUUGUGGCCGUAGACCCACCGCUACUGGAAGGUAACUCACCCCGAAGUAGUUGCUGGUCUGGUCGGGAACUGACUGCCUACUGCUGCUGCUGCUCCGGAAAUCCUCCGGCUGCAACUCCCACAACAUACUCAAUCAAUCACUGCUAACUGUCCUUUGGGUAAAAUGACCAUUUUACCCCUGAUCAUGUCAUAAGUCAAAGUCAAAGUCAACUUUUAGUUGACCCGACUCGCCGAGUUGGCUCUCCAACUCGCCGAGUCCCUAUCCAAUCGAUUGCCCUGGAUCUCGUCCCUACUCGUCGAGUUAGACGUUGACUCGACGAGUUCUCCUUCUAAAUUGAGGUUCAAGUCCUUCAUCCUACUCGCCGAGUUGUAUGAACAACUCGCCGAGUUCAUCUUCAUCCGAAGAACACAUAUGCUGCGACUCGCCGAGUUGUAUGAACAACUCGCCGAGUUUGUUCUUGAUCUAAGGAGAUUGCCUUGAACUCGCCGAGUCAGGGCAUUGACUCGUCGAGUUCCUCCAUGGAUGAGUUUGGCUUCCAACUCACUGAGUCACACCCCGUGACUCACUACUCCCACUCAAACAACGAAAAGGGGACAAACUCGGAGACUCGCGAGCAGACUCGCCGAGUUGUUACCAUGCAAUCACUAUAUGCUGGAUUCUGCUUGAAUCCAGCUUAUGCUAUCCACAGAACUGGGUUCCUAGAACAUGAAUAACACGUAAAGUUUUAGGGUUCAAAAUGCACCAAAUGAGUAGAUCUAGGGUCUUUAUGUAAUAUGGGUCCAUAAAGGCAGUAGAUCUGAGCUCUUGGAGCUCAACCAUGCCUAGAUCUAGAGGUCAAUCAGCUUAUUACGAAUUAUAUUGCACAUGCAAGCUUGGGGAAGGGCUCAAGAAGGACUUUAAUGGAGUAACAAGCAUAGAAACAGAGGGAAAACGAGUUAUACCUCCAAGAAAUUACUGAGAGAACACAAAGAUGCUUGACUUCCUUCCCUUCCUCUUGAUCUACUCCUCCUACUUCUCAAAAUCUUCAAGAAAACACACAAAAGGCCUCAAACUCACAAGAACAAGGGGUUAGAACAUAUGGAGAGCUCCUGAGGGUGAAGGGGGCUGGCUUAGGGCGGAAAUGAGGGCUUAAAUAGGGUGCAAACCCCUGAAACUUAGGGUUUCAUCAAACAGCGGUGACUCGCCGAGUCCAGGAUAUGGACUCGCCGAGUCGCCAACUUAAACAUGUCCCGGGUCCCGUCUCUACUCGGCGAGUCGGACCUAUGACUCGCUGAGUCCAAGGCUAAAAAUGGAAAUUACUCAAAUAAGAUUUACGUACCAGGAACCAAGUGCUACAUAUAGAACAAACAGGUAAAAUUUAUAUUUAUUAAAUUAUAUUAUAGAAUUAGGGAUACAUUUUACAAUUAUUUUCAGGUACAAUAUGAUAUUUGUUCCUUUCACUGCAAUAAACAAUCAUGAAAAGACAAUCAAUGUUGGAGUAGGACUAAUAUCAGAUGAAACAAUUGAAUCAUACUCUUGGUUAUUAGAAGCUUUUUUGUCAUCACAUAAGAAGAAACCAACAAUGAUUCUGUCAGACAUAGAUGUAGCAUUAUCUUCUUCAAUAGGAAAGGUGUUUCAAGGAUGUACUCACAGAUUAUGUAUGUGGCACAUAAUGUCAAAAAUGCCAUCAAAGAUUGACGCUGAUUUAGUUUCAAAUUCAGAUUUCAAGAAACGCAUAAAUCAACUAGUUUGGAAUAUGAAUAUUGAACCAUCAGAAUUUGAGAACAAAUGGGAUUUGAUGUUGAAUGAAUUUCAUUUGAAGGAUAAUAAAUGGUUGGCUGAUAUGUUCAACAAGAGAGAAAAAUGGAUUCCCUCAUAUUUCAGAGAUAUACCAAUGUCUUUUUCCUUCAACAUCUUCUCUGCAACUCUUUUGAGCAUGUCUUUUGACAAAUGGACAAUUUCUAGAAUCAUGUUGAACCAACGUAUUGCAAAAUUUACACAACCUCAUUUGUGUGUUAUACAUCUUAUUUUGAUGAAAAAUAUACAUUAUAUUGAAAUAUAUAUUAUUAGUUAUAACUUACACAUAAAUAUAUAUGCCACUAAUCUUCCGAAAUAUAUGUUAAGACUAUUUCAAAUCAUCAACUACAUAUUCAGAAUCAUUUUACUUAAAAAUAUUAAAUCUAAUGCGAUUGAAAAAUAUAAUAUUAGUUAUAACUUACACAUGUAUAUAUAUGCAACUAAUCUUCCGAAAUAUAUAAUAUUUUAUUACCUAGUAAAAUCUUUCAUUUAUUACUUAAAUCUAUUCAGAAUUAACAAUUAUAAAAAAUAUAAAUAUUCAUAAAUGCAGAAGUCAAAUCGACUUAAUUACAAUAAAUACAAACAAUCCUUUCAUAUAAAAAGCUUUUCAUCUAAUAGUAACUUUAUAUUUUAUAUUUAAAAAAAUGAAAAAAAAAAUAAUUACUAAAAAUAUAAUGUAAAAACUAUAAAUAAUAACAAGAUUAUAAUCUCAUUAUAACAUACAAAAAAAAUAUUUAUUUUAUUUAUAUCAAAUUAAUAAAAGAAGGUAAUAUAUACCGAUUUGUUUGAUAAAAUGCAAAAAAAAAAAAUAAAUAAAUAAAAUAAUAAUAAUAAUAAUAAUAAUAAUUCAUAAGAAGAUAAGGAUUAUCAUCUUCAAUGUAUAGAUACCAUGAUUACCUAAACCUACAACCGCCAUAAUAGACUAUAAUAUUUAUUGAAGCAAAUGAUGGCAGAAAAUUAAUUACCUACUCUACUAACUCCAAUUGUUACCGCUAUAUAUUCCUCCUCAACAUCACCAUAAACUUAAAGAAAAAAAACUAUCCAUUGAUGGCUUCUAAAUCAUCGCUUUGGGUAGUUCGGAACUCCUCGGAUUAUCUUGAUCUUUACGACAUAUAUGGGUGGGAAAACAAAA